AUUUUGUACACCCCUCACCUUUACCUAACUACCGCCUCUCCCUUCCUCCUGUUUCCAACGGCAGCAACCUCCCCCCUAUCCGUUCUUCUCCUGCCCUCCACAGCGCCAGCAGCCUUGCACCCUCCCUGUUCUCCUCCUCCCCUCCACAGCGCCGGCAGCACCCUCCCUCCUCUCCCCGUCCUCCUCCUCCCCUGCAAGACAAUAUGUGCACCCCCUCCCCCAAUACGCGCGCCACCUUCCUUCCCUCCCUCCCGCCCGUCUGCGCGGCUUGCUCUCCCACCGGCCCACUAACAAAAAAAAUAGGAAAGAGAAUAAGCUAGGAAAAAAACCAAAAUUUGAAAAACCGCUAGCAGUGCACCCGUGCUCGUGCGGUAGGGUUAGGGUUGGGCGAUUUUCGUCGGCGGUGCGUGGAUUUCGGCGGCGGCGGCAGGUGGCGGGCGGAGAGGCGGGCAUCUAGCAUCGGGAGCGGAUUCCGUUGCGGGCGGCUGGCGUUGAUGCAGGCCACGCGCACGCGGGCGGAGAAGGUGGGGCAGCCGUCGUGGUCUGUCGACGGCGUGGCUGCAGGGGCUGCCGACGGCGGGGCUGCAGGGGGCUGAUGCGGACAGAGAAAAUCCUAGGGGAAGGCGUCCGGCGUUGGGGGCAGGGGGCCGGCGGCAGGGGGCGGGCGGCCGGCACAGGGUGCAGGAGGUGGAGGCGCCUGACUUCGGACGGUGUUUUUUCUUCCCUUUUUCUUCCACUCUUUUUUUCAAACUCAUGUUUUUUUCUAUCUUCAACACAAAGUGAUUUUUGUUGUGAUUCUUUUGUUUCAGAUUUUAGUGAAUGGUGCUAUGGGAGGAAUUUUUGGAUUUAGUGACACUUCCGCAUAUCAUCUUGCAAAAAAAUGAAAUGCGAGUAGUUCAUGUUUACUGGAGGAGUACUUCAUGUUAUUAAUCGAUAUAGUGUGUGAUCUUUUUAUGCUCUUGGAUGUGGAAUGAAAUGUGGAAUGUUUUGUCGCGUUUGAAUGUAUGCGAGUUUUUUGACAGAUUGAUGUUAUGCACUGUGUGUGAUAACCAUUUUUUUGUGCGUGAAUCAGAAUUUAUAGUAACACUGCUCUUAAUAUGUAGUAACCGUGCAAUUAAUCUGCAGUAAUAUUACCAUGGACAUGAAGUAACACAAAUCUGAAUAUGUAGUAACACAUUUAUAAAUUUGCAAAAACCAUUUAAAUUUUACUUGAAUAGCAACGAACAUGUUUACGAAGUCAACUUGUUUUUGAAUGUGCAUUACCACAGCCCUGUAUAUGCAGUAACAUAGCUCUGAGUGUGCAGUAACAUAACUCCAAAUAUGCAGUAACUCAUUUUUAGAGUAUGUUUUUUUGAUGUCAAUGAAUAUGAUUCAUAACUCAACUCUUUUUUUGGUGCAUUGUAGUAUUCAGUUACAAAGUAAGGGAAGCAACUGAAAGUAACCAAGGUCGUGGUUAGAGAUGGUGACCACGACUUGGAGGUUUCUUUCGAUCUCACGCAAACACAAAGUACGUCGGCAACACCAGGACACCGGCGUAAUAAAAGACGAACUACCCAAAGAAAAGAAAAGCCAAAAUAAGCUGAUGAUGAAGAGAGUAUCCUAGUUGUGUAAAUGCAAAAGGCCCCAAUUAGUAUCCUAGUUAUAUAAAAACCAAACAUGUAUACCUAAGUGGUUGCGGCAGCGUCCUUUUGUGAAUGGCAUGUGUUUUAUGCAAAAAUUGUGGUGGCAUUGAAACUUUAGUUUCAUGUGUUAUAACUGUGUUUUGGUGGUA
Molecule: long non-coding RNA, 1771 nt
Filed under: Oryza brachyantha (malo sina)
Lineage: Eukaryota; Viridiplantae; Streptophyta; Magnoliopsida; Poales; Poaceae
Description: long non-coding RNA (OBRA_LNC001799)
Source: RNAcentral